UGGGGAAUUUUGGACAAUGGGGGCAACCCUGAUCCAGCAAUGCCGCGUGUGUGAAGAAGGCCUUCGGGUUGUAAAGCACUUUUGUCAGGGAAGAAACGGUGAAGGCUAAUAUCCUUUGCUAAUGACGGUACCUGAAGAAUAAGGACCGGCUAACUACGUGCCAGCAGCCGCGGUAAUACGUAGGGUCCAAGCGUUAAUCGGAAUUACUGGGCGUAAAGCGUGCGCAGGCGGUUGUGUAAGUCAGAUGUGAAAUCCCCGGGCUUAACCUGGGAAUGGCAUUUGAGACUGCACGGCUAGAGUGUGUCAGAGGGGGGUAGAAUUCCACGUGUAGCAGUGAAAUGCGUAGAGAUGUGGAGGAAUACCGAUGGCGAAGGCAGCCCCCUGGGAUAACACUGACGCGCAUGCACGAAAGCGUGGGGAGCAAACA
This 427-nucleotide ribosomal RNA is filed under the name uncultured bacterium. RNAcentral describes it as "bacterial SSU rRNA". It matches the Rfam family "Bacterial small subunit ribosomal RNA", at positions 355 to 774 of the family's 1533-position model. The record is from RNAcentral.